This 407-nucleotide ribosomal RNA is filed under the name uncultured Sphingobacteriales bacterium. RNAcentral's name for it is "bacterial SSU rRNA". It matches the Rfam family "Bacterial small subunit ribosomal RNA", at positions 974 to 1382 of the family's 1533-position model. Lineage: Bacteria; Pseudomonadati; Bacteroidota; Sphingobacteriia; Sphingobacteriales. The record is from RNAcentral.
CCUGGGCUCAAAUGUAUGUUGUACGUAUUCUGAAAGGGAUACUUCUUCGGACAAUAUACAAGGUGCUGCAUGGUUGUCGUCAGCUCGUGCCGUGAGGUGUCGGGUUAAGUCCCAUAACGAGCGCAACCCCUACCUUUAGUUGCCAUCAGGUUAAGCUGGGGACUCUAAAGGAACUGCCUACGCAAGUAGUGAGGAAGGCGGGGAUGACGUCAAAUCAGCACGGCCCUUAUGUCCAGGGCGACACACGUGCUACAAUGGCCGGCACAACGGGAAGCGAGUUCGCGAGGACAAGCGGAUCCCUUAAAGCCGGUCGCAGUUCGGAUUGAAGUCUGCAACUCGACUUCAUGAAGCUGGAAUCGCUAGUAAUCGUGAAUCAGAAUGUCACGGUGAAUACGUUCCCGGGCCUU